CCUACGUGCGGCAGCAGUGAGGAAUAUUGGUCAAUGGACGAGAGUCUGAACCAGCCAAGUCGCGUGAAGGAUGACUGCCCUAUGGGUUGUAAACUUCUUUUAUAUGGGAAUAAAUUGUUCUACGUGUGGGAUUUUGUAUGUAUCAUAUCAUUCAGGAUCGGCUAACUCGGUGCCAGCAGCCGCGGUAAUACGGAGGAGCCGAGCGUUAUCCGGAUUUAUUGGGUGUAAAGGGAGCGUAGGUGGAUAGUUAAGUCAGGUGUGAAAGUUUGCGGCUGAACCGUAAAAUUGCAGUUGAAACUGGCAGUCUUGAGUACAGUAGGGGUGGGCGGAAUUCGUAGUGUAGCGGUGAAAUGCUUAGAUAUCACGAAGAACUCCGAUUGCGAAGGCAGUUCACUGGACUGCAACUGACACUGAGGCUCGAAAGUGUGGGUAUCAAACAGGAUUAGAUACCCCUGUAGUC
This 460-nucleotide ribosomal RNA is filed under the name uncultured bacterium. RNAcentral's name for it is "partial 16S ribosomal RNA". It matches the Rfam family "Bacterial small subunit ribosomal RNA", at positions 338 to 795 of the family's 1533-position model. The record is from RNAcentral.